Molecule: ribosomal RNA, 266 nt
Filed under: uncultured bacterium
Lineage: Bacteria
Description: partial 16S ribosomal RNA
Rfam family: Bacterial small subunit ribosomal RNA
Source: RNAcentral
GUCCUGGUUCAGGAUGAACGCUAGCUACAGGCUUAACACAUGCAAGUCGAGGGGCAUCAGUUUGGUUUGCUUGCAAACCAAAGCUGGCGACCGGCGCACGGGUGAGUAACACGUAUCCAACCUACCUCAUACUCGGGGAUAGCCUUUCGAAAGAAAGAUUAAUAUCCGAUAGCAUAUAUUUCCCGCAUGGGUUUUAUAUUAAAGAAAUUCGGUAUAAGAUGGGGAUGCGUUCCAUUAGUUUGUUGGGGGGGUAACGGCCCACCAAG